RNAcentral lists this ribosomal RNA (1371 nucleotides) under soil metagenome. RNAcentral describes it as "bacterial LSU rRNA". It matches the Rfam family "Bacterial large subunit ribosomal RNA", at positions 1374 to 2641 of the family's 2925-position model. The record is from RNAcentral.
CCAGGGUAAGUCGGGACCUAAGGCGAGGCCGACAGGCGUAGUCGAUGGACAACUGGUUGAUAUUCCAGUACCCGCUUUAUACCGCCCAUGGCGAAUCACCAAUGCUAAGUGCCUGAAAGGAGACCGGGUUUACCUGGUUGAAUGGAGCGCGCGACCCAAGGUGGUAGUAGUCAAGCAAUGGAGGGACGCAGGAAGGUAGUUCAACCCAGGCGAUGGUUGUCCUGGGGUAAGGGAGUAGGACGGAAUGUAGGCAAAUCCGCAUUCCACAUGUCUGAGACCUGAUGCCGAGCCGUAUGGCGAAGUGAAUGAUCCUAUGCUGCCAAGAAAAUCUUCUAGCGAGGUAUAAAACGGCCCGUACCCGAAACCGACUCAGGUGUUCAGGUAGAGAAUACCAAGGUGAUCGAGAGAAUCGUGGUGAAGGAACUCGGCAAAAUACCCCCGUAACUUCGGGAGAAGGGGGGCCAAUUUGUGUGUAGGGAUUUACUCCCGUAGCGCGAGUUGGCUGCAAAGAAUAGUCUCAAGCGACUGUUUACCAAAAACACAGGUCCGUGCGAAGUUGCAAAACGAUGUAUACGGACUGACGCCUGCCCGGUGCUGGAACGUUAAGGGGACGGGUUAGUGCCUUCGGGUGCGAAGCUCAGAACUUAAGCGCCAGUAAACGGCGGUGGUAACUAUAACCAUCCUAAGGUAGCGAAAUUCCUUGUCGGGUAAGUUCCGACCUGCACGAAUGGCGUAACGACUUGAGAACUGUCUCCACCGCGAACUCGGCGAAAUUGCAUUACGAGUAAAGAUGCUCGUUACGCGCAGAAAGACGGAAAGACCCCGGGACCUUUACUAUAUCUUGAUAUUGGUACUCGGAACGUUUUGUGUAGCAUAGGUGGGAGACUUUGAAGCGGCACGCCAGUGUUCGUGGAGUCAUCAUUGAAAUACCACUCUGAACGUUUUGAGUUUCUAACCUCGGUCCAUUAUCUGGAUCAGGGACAGUGUCUGGUGGGUAGUUUAACUGGGGCGGUUGCCUCCUAAAAAGUAACGGAGGCGCUCAAAGGUUCCCUCAGUCUGGUUGGCAAUCAGAUGUCGAGUGUAAGUGCACAAGGGAGCUUAACUGUGAGACAGACAUGUCGAGCAGGUGCGAAAGCAGGAACUAGUGAUCCGGCGGUGGCUUGUGGAAGCGCCGUCGCUCAACGGAUAAAAGGUACCCCGGGGAUAACAGGCUGAUCUUGCCCAAGAGUCCAUAUCGACGGCAUGGUUUGGCACCUCGAUGUCGGCUCGUCGCAUCCUGGGGCUGGAGUAGGUCCCAAGGGUUGGGCUGUUCGCCCAUUAAAGCGGCACGCGAGCUGGGUUCAGAACGUCGUGAGACAGUUCGGUCCCUAU